This 373-nucleotide ribosomal RNA is filed under the name uncultured bacterium. RNAcentral describes it as "bacterial SSU rRNA". It matches the Rfam family "Bacterial small subunit ribosomal RNA", at positions 28 to 404 of the family's 1533-position model. The record is from RNAcentral.
GACGAACGCUGGCGGCGUGCUUAACACAUGCAAGUCGAGCGGUAAGGCCCUUUCGGGGGUACACGAGCGGCGAACGGGUGAGUAACACGUGGGUGACCUGCCCUCAGCUCUGGGAUAAGCCCGGGAAACUGGGUCUAAUACCGGAUAUGACUUCAUGACGCAUGUUGUGGAGUGGAAAGCCUUGUGCGGCUGAGGAUGGGCCCGCGGCCUAUCAGCUUGUUGGUGGGGGAUGGCCUACCAAGGCGACGACGGUAGGCCGGCCUGAGAGGGCGACCGGCCACACUGGGACUGAGAUACGGCCAGACUCCUACGGGAGGCAGCAGUGGGGAAUCUUGCGCAAUGGGCGAAAGCCUGACGCAGCGACGCCGCGUGA